AGUGAACGCUGGCGGUAGGCCUAACACAUGCAAGUCGAACGGCAGCACAGUAAGAGCUUGCUCUUACGGGUGGCGAGUGGCGGACGGGUGAGGAAUACAUCGGAAUCUACUUUUUCGUGGGGGAUAACGUAGGGAAACUUACGCUAAUACCGCAUACGACCUACGGGUGAAAGCAGGGGAUCUUCGGACCUUGCGCGAUUGAAUGAGCCGAUGUCGGAUUAGCUAGUUGGCGGGGUAAAGGCCCACCAAGGCGACGCUCCGUAGCUGGUCUGAGAGGAUGAUCAGCCACACUGGAACUGAGAAACGGUCCAGACUCCUACGGGAGGCAGCAGUGGGGAAUAUUGGACAAUGGGCGCAAGCCUGAUCCAGCCAUACCGCGUGGGUGAAGAAGGCCUUCGGGUUGUAAAGCCCUUUUGUUGGGAAAGAAAAGCAGCAGGUUAAUACCCCGCUGUUCUGACGGUACCCAAAGAAUAAGCACCGGCUAACUUCGUG
Molecule: ribosomal RNA, 492 nt
Filed under: uncultured bacterium
Lineage: Bacteria
Description: partial 16S ribosomal RNA
Rfam family: Bacterial small subunit ribosomal RNA
Source: RNAcentral